CGCGAUGGAGCGGCGUUAUAUCGCGACAGUAGCAGUGCUAUAUCGCGACGGAGCGGCGCUACGAAUUGAUAAAUCGCGAUAUUGACAGCAGAUAUCGUGAUACUGGCAGUGAACAGUGACCGUAUCGCGAUAUUGCCACCGUGUAUCGCGAUAGUGGCACCAUGUAUCACAAUAGCGUCGCCAGAUAUCGCGAUAUUAGCACAGAACAGUGACCGUAUCGCGAUACUGCCACCGUAUAUCGCGAUAGUGGCACCAAAUGUCGCGAUAUGGAAACCGAACCGGCGACCAAUGAAUGGGGAGGGGACUGACGCAGAAACGGUGACGAGCUCACAAUAAAAGACACUGGAACUGUGAAAGCGCGUCGCGAUAUAUCGCGAUACGGGCACCGCCGCAGGGGGGGGACCCGACGCCAAAACCUGGGCUGGGAGGUGGCAGCUAUCGCGAUAGUGACGCCUGAAGAAUGACAACUAUCGCGAUAUCCAAACUCCAGCAGUGCCCCCUAUCGCGAUAUCCGCACCUGAACAGGGCCCCCUAUCGCGAUAUCCCCACAACAGCGCCCCCUAUCGCGAUAUCCACACAAUAGCGCCCCCUAUCGCGAUAUCCACACCCAAACGAUGCCAACUAUCGCGAUAUCGACAUGUGAACAGGGCCCCCUAUCGCGAUAUCCCCACAACAGCGCCCCCUAUCGGGAUAUCCACACAACAGCGCCCUCUAUCGCGAUAUCCACACCUGAACAGUGCCCUCUAUCG
Molecule: long non-coding RNA, 749 nt
Filed under: Numida meleagris (helmeted guineafowl)
Lineage: Eukaryota; Metazoa; Chordata; Aves; Galliformes; Numididae
Description: lncRNA (ENSNMEG00000006475.1)
Source: RNAcentral